AUCCUCAGAGAUUUCUGGAGGAGACUGAAAAGAUGAUACGGAGACUGCCCUGUUCUGAUGCAAGAGCAGAUAUAGUCACCCCUUUGAGUAAUCAGGUAAUUUACCCUUUUAAAUUCGAGGACGAAUUUAAUAUAAGGGGAGGAGGACGUAACAACCCCAAAAUUUUUUUUUAUAAAAAGGGAUAGAAUAGUCCUUUAAAAUUGAUAUAAGGGGUAAAAUUGGGAGGAAUCAAAAGAUAAUGGCAUAGUUGUAGAUACGUUGAAGUGGUAAGGGUAAAAUUGGAAAGGAAUCAAAAGAUAAUGGCAUAACAGUAGAUAUGUUGAAGUGUUAGGGGCAAAAUGGGAAUUUAAUAAUAUUAAAAAAAGGGUAAUAGUGUUUUGAUGUGAUUUAAUUAGGGGGUUUACUGUGGCUUUUGGAAUGAAAGCGAGAGACAGAGAGGGGGAGUCUCAGGUGUUUCACAGAGAGGAAAGAAAGAAAGAAAAAGAGAAGAAGAAGAAGAAGAAAGAAGAAGAGGAAGGGGAUUCGAGGAGGAAAGGGAUCUCGGGUGUACUUCCAGCUGAAGGAAAAAAUGUAGAUCUCCUUCUCCUCUACGCAAGGACCUCGAUUUUCAAAAAGAAAAAGGUAAAUAUCCAUCCCUAUCUAGUCUUUUGAUGAUAUUAGGCUAUACAAAGGGUGGAUAUAGUCUAGAGGGGUCGGAUAAGGGUUGUAGAGGUGGUUAAAAGAAGAAGAAUCGGAUUUUGACAAAUUUUUCCGGCACUACGGAAAAAUUGUGUCGAAGUCCCAACUUCGGCGAAUUAUUUAGGGGGUCAAACGGCCUCCGAUGAUGAUGCAUGUUAUCUCUUUGGAAUUCUCUAUGAG
RNAcentral lists this long non-coding RNA (858 nucleotides) under Phoenix dactylifera (date palm). Its description in RNAcentral is "long non-coding RNA (PDAC_LNC017546)". The record is from RNAcentral. Lineage: Eukaryota; Viridiplantae; Streptophyta; Magnoliopsida; Arecales; Arecaceae.